Molecule: non-coding RNA, 29 nt
Filed under: Mus musculus (house mouse)
Lineage: Eukaryota; Metazoa; Chordata; Mammalia; Rodentia; Muridae
Source: RNAcentral
UGGAACUUCACAAGCAACAGGCAGGCACC